This 72-nucleotide transfer RNA is filed under the name Camelus bactrianus (Bactrian camel). It matches the Rfam family "tRNA". Rfam says of the family: Transfer RNA (tRNA) molecules are approximately 80 nucleotides in length. Their secondary structure includes four short double-helical elements and three loops (D, anti-codon, and T loops). RNAcentral also lists the same sequence under 2 other names. The record is from Rfam by way of RNAcentral. Lineage: Eukaryota; Metazoa; Chordata; Mammalia; Artiodactyla; Camelidae.
AGGGGAAUAGCUCAGUGAUAGAGCACGUGCUUAGCAUGCACAAGGUCCUGGGUUCAAUCCUCAGUACCUCCA